This 1067-nucleotide long non-coding RNA is filed under the name Equus caballus (horse). Its description in RNAcentral is "lncRNA (ENSECAG00000049644.1)". Lineage: Eukaryota; Metazoa; Chordata; Mammalia; Perissodactyla; Equidae. The record is from RNAcentral.
AAUUUUUAAAUGAUUUGUUUCUCACUUGGAGAGGUGUUAAAUUACCUUGGUUUAUUCGAUAUGUUAAAUUACAUGGGAUGCAAUGUCAAAUAAGACGUGAUGAUAAAUUUUAGGUUAUAUGUGUAUAGAUAUAUGUCACUAAAAUAAGUAUUACAGAAAUUGUUUGAAGUUCGUAGAAAUUUGUCAAUACUCUUGCUGCCAAGUUGCUAUCAUAACUUUUAUAUGCUACAGAAAUAACUACACUUCUUUAUCAAAUGAGCUUUCUUCAGAUCUCAAUUGCAGCCAUUUUUUUGUGUUUGUCACUCGCAGACAGUUAAUGUUUUACUCUGAUACUUUUGCACUAGUGCUUCAUCUUCAGAGAGAUUCACGGAAAGGACUCUGACAAGUACUCUAGAAUACAGGUUUCUGACAACUUUAAUAUCAUAACAAUGAAAUGGCCAUCUUCAGUACAUCAUAUGGUCACACUCUGCUUGGAGAAACAGAAACAAGAUGAACAAGGAGAUGAACAGCAAAAACAGUUCUUCCAUGAACCUGACAUCAUAACCUACAAGUUUCACAAUGAAACAAGAACAGCUUAAAACUGAUGGUGACUGAGUGGUGCUAAUGCCAAAUUUUUGGUCAAUAUCUCAUAUUCAAGAGGAUAAUCAGAGGAGAGAAUUGUUAAAUUAACUAAACAAGGAAACCAUUAAACUGAGUGACUGCAAUGCCUUAGUGGUCCAUGUAAGCAAACCAAAAUCUAAGCCUGUAAAUGCAUCAGUGUUACAAAAUCAAAACCUAAGGACAACUAAUCACAAAAAACCAACUAAGCUUUACACUACAGCCAAUAAAAUAAUUUCUUUGUUUGCACUCCUUCUCUAUAUAAGUUAUUCCCCUAGCUUAUGUUGGUAGAAUGCUUCUAACCACUUUUGAUUUUCUGCUGCCCAAAUCGAAUUAAUUUUUGCUCAGAUAAACAUACCUCAGUUUAUCUGUAAUAGCCAAAAACUGGAAUCAGCCCAGAUGUCUCUCAUAGCAGAGUGAUUAAACAACUCUGGUACCUCCCUUCCAGAGAAUACUACUCAGUAAUAAAA